AUAACACUCUAAUUUGCAACAUUUUGUUGUAUUAAAGGUUGUACAUCAAGCUUGGUUGAUGUCUCAGGCAGUAAAGAUUGUACACAUUGCUUAAAGUCAUGUACUACUUGACCUUAACUUUUCCCUACUUGUACAUAAAAGAACAUGAGAUGCAGACUUUAGACUUUAGAGAGAGAAAGUAAGAGUCUGAGAAAGUAGAGAGAGAGAGCAGCAAAGAAAAAGGAUCCGAUGGGUUCCGGUCGCCGGUGAUGACGGAGCCAUGGUGCCUUUAGAUGGAGCUACAACAGUGAUGGUCUAGGUGGUGUCGGGUUGGAGAAAGAAACAACAGUGGUGGUGCUAGGGUUUGAUAGAGGAUGAUGGUGGUAAGAGGCGGUGGUUCAGUUAUGUGACGACUUCUUCCUUUUCUUAAAACCCCCUUAUGUCUUGUCUCUCAUGUCCUUAUCAUUCCUCUAGGGUUCUCCCCUUUCUCCGACGAAGGAGCCGACAACGGUAGUGAUGGCCGACCAUGAUGAAGACGAUGGUGUUUCUUUUGUUGAGAAGUGACGGUGGUAGUGAUGGUCGGGAAGACGAUAGUGUUUCUUUUGUUGAGAAGUGGCGGUGGAGGCAAAGAUUAGGGUUCCGCGAUGUCUUCUGGUAUAGUUCAUGCCAAACUCAGGUAAGGUUCGACUCUGUUAGUAUUCCGUAAAACCGAGCCACUUUGUCGUCUUUACCAAAGAAAUUAUAUACUCUUAUGUUACCCUUAAAAAAUAACUGAAUUUGACUUAAUAGUGACCGUUUGAUCAAGCUGAGAUGAGAUAUCAGCUGUGUAAAUUAACCCAAUUCUUCUAGAAGGAGCAGUUUUUCAGCAGUUGUAACUUGUGUUGUAACCUCCUGUUUUUGAGGAUGAACCUGGGUAACCAGAAUCAUGUAUUUUAAUAGGCCACUCCGAUGUGAUUCAAAUAUUUCUUUUGAUGUUUGAUUUGCCAUAUGAAGCUGUAUCAACACUCUUUUAACCCACUCGGUGGCGCGUGAUGUUCACUCAACUCUAUCAACGACGCCCGCCACCGGUGAUGACGUAGCGGUGGUGAAUAGUGAAUUGGAGACGGACCCGCCCGAAGGUUCUGUGGAAGAGGUACACUGAAUGUCUGUACCAGCAUAAAGAACUAGGCUUGUAUUUGGAGGUGAGCCGGGUCAGGUUUACAUAUGGGUUUGUGAGGGAGAUGGAGCCUAGGUUUGCUAAGGCGAUGGAGGAGCUUGAAAAGGGGAUGAUUUUAAACCCAUCGUACCCGACACGACCCCAAUCGCAGAUUGGAAGGUUACCAUUUAAAGAACAUCAAAUAUGAUAGCUGGAGUUCAAAUUUCAUCCUGCUUGUAUAAAGAUGACACCAGAGGAGGCUAAACAGAUAUGGCUAAUGCAAUUGUCUUGGCAGACUGAUUUCUUGCAAAACUACAAUCUUUAAACUAUUGGUAGGCCACUCCAAUUGUUUGAUCUGAAAGUGAUUACACGACUUCAGAUUUAUCCAAGCAAUUUCGAAUUUCUCCAACAAUAUUACGGUACAACAAAGCUAUUGUAGGCGUUCUAACAAGUAUUGAUACAUAGCUUGGAGGUUAGUAUGCAGUAUGGUGACGGAACCCAUAUCAGUUGGUUUGAACGUUGGUCUUGACAUUGUUAGGGGAAGCUCCAGUUUUCUUUGUUGAUGAUUUACGUACAUGCCAAUAUUUUAAAUAGAUAUCAUCUGAAACUAAAGGAAUCUGAAACAACCAUUAUUGUUGGGAAUAAGAAGAUAGUAUCAUGUUAGAAUUCUAAUUUAUUUUAGUA
This is a long non-coding RNA of Helianthus annuus (common sunflower), 1798 nucleotides long. RefSeq lists it as uncharacterized. Lineage: Eukaryota; Viridiplantae; Streptophyta; Magnoliopsida; Asterales; Asteraceae. The record is from RefSeq and is a predicted model, not a curated record. The transcript has 5 exons.